Molecule: ribosomal RNA, 382 nt
Filed under: uncultured archaeon
Lineage: Archaea
Description: bacterial SSU rRNA
Rfam family: Archaeal small subunit ribosomal RNA
Source: RNAcentral
AAACUUUACAAUGCUGGCAACAGCGAUAAGGGAACCUCGAGUGCCAGGUUACAAAUCUGGCUGUCGAGAUGCCUAAAAAGCAUUUCAUAGCAAGGGCCGGGCAAGACCGGUGCCAGCCGCCGCGGUAACACCGGCGGCUCGAGUGGUAACCGUUAUUAUUGGGUCUAAAGGGUCUGUAGCCGGCCGGAUAAGUCUCUUGAGAAAUCUGGCAGCUUAACUGUCAGGCGUCCAAGAGAUACUGACAGGCUUGGGACCGGGAGAGGUGGGAGGUACUCCAGGGGUAGGGGUGAAAUCUCGUAAUCCUUGGGGGACCACCGAUGGCGAAGGCAUCCCACCAGAACGGGUCCGACGGUGAGGGACGAAAGCUGGGGGCACGAACCGG